RNAcentral lists this ribosomal RNA (432 nucleotides) under uncultured bacterium. RNAcentral's name for it is "bacterial SSU rRNA". It matches the Rfam family "Bacterial small subunit ribosomal RNA", at positions 30 to 461 of the family's 1533-position model. The record is from RNAcentral.
AUUGAACGCUGGCGGCAUGCCUUACACACGCAAGUCGAACGGCAGCGGACCUUCGGGUGCCGGCGAGUGGCGAACGGGUGAGUAAUAUAUCGGAACGUACCUUUCAGUGGGGGAUAACGUAGCGAAAGUUACGCUAAUACCGCAUAUUCUGUGAGCAGGAAAGCAGGGGAUCGCAAGACCUUGCGCUGAUUGAGCGGCCGAUAUCAGAUUAGCUAGUUGGUGAGGUAAAGGCUCACCAAGGCGACGAUCUGUAGCGGGUCUGAGAGGAUGAUCCGCCACACUGGAACUGAGACACGGUCCAGACUCCUACGGGAGGCAGCAGUGGGGAAUUUUGGACAAUGGGCGCAAGCCUGAUCCAGCCAUGCCGCGUGAGUGAAGAAGGCCUCGGUUGUUAAGACGUACUUUCGGUCCGGUACGGAAAGUACGACGACA